RNAcentral lists this long non-coding RNA (4421 nucleotides) under Chlamydomonas reinhardtii. Its description in RNAcentral is "long non-coding RNA (CREI_LNC000725)". The record is from RNAcentral. Lineage: Eukaryota; Viridiplantae; Chlorophyta; Chlorophyceae; Chlamydomonadales; Chlamydomonadaceae.
CCCAACGAACCGCAAACCACAAAUCAAGUCACACCCACCUCAGCAUUAGAAGUGCACACCCGCCUAUCGAAUGUCGGAUGAUGAUAAGGCAACAAGUAGGUCUAGAGAAAUGAAAGCUAGUAGGUCUACUGCACCCAUGCAUGGAUGGAAAGAAUCAAUGGACCUGUGGAUAUAGGAUCCGGCCUCCUCAAGGGUCCUCGCGCAUUUACUAAAGAGCCAAGGGGUCUAGUAUGUAAGAAUCAAUGCCAGUCUCAAGUCAAGCACACUGAUGCCGGUUCCUGGCAUCUGGAAUGCCAGAAGGGUCGGAGGAACUUGCACACACAGAACGUACACGUCGUGUCACUGACAGCCCACUCGAGUCUCGUAAACAGAAAACAUAGUGCCCGCUCCUGCAGCGAGCCAAGAUACGGUAACCUCGAUACUUCUUUGUGUGUCACCGCGGUACGCGCACACACACGGAUCCACGGGCUUCCUCUCCGCACUCCUUCUGUCACACCCGUGCGAUAGAUCGUUUCGGACGUCACCUCUCCUCCGUCCCAUUACGAACCUGUAGCCCCAGGCAGCCCUGCGUCCAUUGGCACAGCGCCCCUCGCCACCUGCCACCCUCCCGCUCAGCAAAUAAACGCACGCGCGAGAGCAAAACACCAGCAGGUCCAUAGUAUGGCCAAGGGAGGCUGCCGGUUCCCCGGUCCCAUACAGUCACACAUACAUCUUAUUAAGAAACAUCAGCAGGGUUUAGUUGGCAAGUCUCAGUAGAGAAAUAGACAUCCAUACAUCACCCAAUGCGCGUGGCAAUAUCGCACUGAGUGCUUGCUUGCGCUAGCAAUCCAGCAUCAAGUACGGCCUUUGACACUCCCGCUCGCUCACAUACGGUGAAAUAUCAGUACAGCACGGCAACACUUGCGCGAAUCAGUCCUGACUCCUGCGGUAAACGCCGACUACCGUAGCACGCCCUGCUGUCGUGCUGACAAUGAGAAAUGUGCGGCGGCACAGCCCUGCUGGUUCACUUGAUAGUGGGCCCGAUCAGUAGCUAGUAGCGGCGAUUUGCCUAGCUGUCUAUACUUGCACGCAUACGCUGCGGGUGUGCCUCACAUACCAUAAUACCCAGUGCUGCUUCUUUCGCAUAUAACACACGCUCAGCAUGCCCUGCUGGCUCACUUCGAUACUGUGCCAUCCACACACGUACGUGUGACGAGCCCCUCUUGCGAACGGCCGCCGGCACCACAGCUGCGGCGGCUGCGGCUGCUGCUGCUCCUGCUGCUGCUACUGCUACUGCUGCAUCUUCAAAUGGCGAGGGCAGCAAGCCGCUGGCUGCAGGGCUCAUGCAGCUGACGGCGUAACACGGAAGCCAAACGGAACGGAGCGGCCCUUGCCGCUACCAGGCCGCCACCGCUGCCGGUGGCGGGAAGCAGCCGCACGCGCGCUCCAACGCGGCAAACUCCUCCAGCUCCCGCUCCUGCUCAGCCCACGCCGCCGCCGCCAGCUCCAUCGCCAGGCGCAGGCGCGAGGGCAUCACAGCUGACUGCCACUCAUCACCCUGCUGCACCGCCGCGAUCGGCGGAACGACACAGCUGCCCAUGCUGCUGCCGGCGGCGGUGCAGGCCUCCUUGUCAGCGCUAUGCUCCUCCACUGCCGCCUCCACCAACUCCACCUGCUGCGGCGUCUCACUGCCUGCCGCCGCCGCCACCCAGACCAGACUGCAGCUGCUGGCGCUGCGGCUGGUGCGGGCGCUGUCCGGCACGGCGCAGCAGCACGAGCUGAGCGGCGAGUCAGGCGCGUCCAGCCGCUCAGUGACGACGGCCACCUCCUGCGCCGCUUCGGCCGCCGCCGGCACGCACUCGCCCUGGGCCUCUGCUUUCCCCAUCGCCGCCAGCUCCGCCGCCAUCCAGGGCGACAGCGAGGCGAGGUAGGCGCCGAAAUCGCCGGCCUCCUCCGCCUCAACGUCAUCCGCCCAGCGGCGGCCGUUGGGGAUGCCGCCGGUGCCGCUGGCAGCUGCCGCCGCCGCCUGCUCCGCCAGGCCCUCCUUCAGCCAAUCUGCGAGCGACCCGAGGUCGAGCUCCUCCUCCGCCUCCUCAUGCGCCUCAACCUCAUCCGCCCAGCUACCGCUCGCGCCACCGCUGCUGCUAAUGCUGGCGCGAGGAGCAAUGCUGCUGCUGCUGCUGCUGCUGCUGCUGCCGUCAGACUCUGACGCUGCCGCGGGCACGGCCGGUGCGGCUUCCGCCUGCUGCUGCUCGGCCGCCGCGAGCUCCGCCAGUCCCUGCUUCACCCAGGGCGUCUGCUCAAAGAGGUCGCUCAGGUCGAGUCCGUCAGCCUCAUCCUCAUCAUCAUCGCCCCAUCGCGGCGUGGUCGAGCUGCGGUCGACGGUGGAGGUGGAGAUGGGGCUUGCAGCGGCGGCGGGCUUGGUCGGGGCGGCGGGCUUGGUCGGAGCCGCGAGCUUGGGCACCUUGGGCAGGCCGGGCGGCUUCUGCGGGCGCCAGUGGUUGUCGUAGGCAUGGCAAAGCUGGCAAGGGGCGCUCCUGCAGCCAGCAGAUAGGCUGGCAUAGCACCAGCGCAUGCAGGACUUGUGAGGAAAGCAGCAGGCGCUGGGGGCGGGCUCCUGCUGCUCCUGCUGGUGGGCGGCGGCGGAGGGCUCGCUCUCAUCAGAGCCGUGGCCUUGGCUGCGGGGCGUGUGGCGCCAGGCGUCCUGUGCAAACGAGAUCGGGGGAAAAGGAUAGAUGGGGGCGGACAAGCCGUGAGUGCACGGGACGAGGACAAGGGUCGGGGCGCAGAGGGCGGGAGAAAGGGCCGGGGGUCGGGGGCUCGGGCCCCGGCAAAAAAGUCAGGCGCACCGGAAAGGCACGCGCUUUCGGUCAAAGCUGUUGACCGACGCAUUUUACGAGACAAUACAUGCAGCAAUAUGCAGCCAGUGUGGCCGCAGCAGCGCAAGAAGGAACGCCGAGGAAGCUGAGCGCACUACUGGCCCGAAAUCUGCAACGCUAUCUAGCCCGCAUCAGAAGCCUAAUGCUUUGCAUGUGGCAUCGGAUACCCAUUGCAGCUGCUCAAGGCUCAAAAUGGCCGUGCCCGAACAUGAAUGGUGCUCACCUGCAUCGGUCGGCUCGGCUCGAAGUCAAGCCCCGGUGCACUUGCGAUUGACCGUGAUGUGGCCAUAGUAGCUCUCGACCGCACCAAGCACUCUUCGCGCGCAGAACUCGAUUCUGCUGCUAGCGCAAUUCUUUCGCUUGACGGAAACUUUUCCUCGCGGUGCCCGGGAGGGAUUCGCGCUAGGAGCUGCUAGCUCGUGACAGUGGUGGUGCUUGCCGCAGCUUUCAUGCGCAUGCGGUGGAAAUCGAGAGAGGUCGCGAACAGCCCUAGAAAUGCUCUUCUUUGCCGUCAGGUGCUCGUAGCUAAGCAGUGGGCGUAAAAGCUGUUUGUGAGAUGUCUUUGCAUCUGUUGAAUGUGCAAUAUGAGCACAGCGCGAAGCUUUUAUCCAGUGGCGGGGACAGGGUCUCGGGCGCCCAUGCAGGCGACACGCGCCCAAUCCCGAGCCUCCCACUCCUCGCCUGUACCUUGUCCCUGGACCCGCGCCAUCCGUGUCCCGCUGUUCAAUUCCCGCGUUUCAUACCAGCUCCCCUCCCCUGCGUAGGCCGGUAACCCCUGAUCCCGCCGCUGCCGGGGAUGCAGCCGUGCAGGAUGAGGUUGACGGCUGGGGAAGUUGUUGUGGGGAAGUUGGUGUAGGUUGGCGGUGAUCCAGCGGGGUGGGUGCCGAUGUGCUAUAGCGGGCGCGAGGCUGUACACGUCAGGAUCUGGCGAGUGUACUGCUCAAGCUGGCUUUGUGAUGGCCCCCAAGCGUAGGUGAGGUAGGCGCACGGCGGUGACAAGGCAUGCGGCCAGUGGAACUGCCUUACAGUUACAGCCCGCCCAAGCGCGGUUGUUGCCCUGCCAUGAUUUCCGUGCAGUCUGCUAGCUUCGGCAGGGACGGUGCCCAUCAGUUCCCGAUGUUGACAAACCAUGCAUCCAGCCGCCCACACGUGCUCUUCGUUCGUCACAUACCGUACUCGAACUCCAAUGUCCACAGAGCGUGUGCGCGAAAUCCACACGCCACACACGCAAGUGACAGCCGCCCGUCCUUGCACAGCAAGCAUCUCCGCGCACGGUCGCACGCUUCUCUAGCCCCAACGAACCGCAAACCACAAAUCAAGUCACACCCACCUCAGCAUUAGAAGUGCACACCCGCCUAUCGAAUGUCGGAUGAUGAUAAGGCAACAAGUAGGUCUAGAGAAAUGAAAGCUAGUAGGUCUACUGCACCCAUGCAUGGAUGGAAAGAAUCAAUGGACCUGUGGAUAUAGGAUCCGGCCUUCUCAAGGGUCCUCGCGCAUUUACUAAAGAGCCAAGGGGUCUAGUAUGUAAGAAUCAAUGCCAGUCUCAAGUCAAGCACACUGCUG